UAGUCUGGUGCCAGCAGCCGCGGUAAUUCCAGCUCCAAUAGCGUAUAUUAAAGUUGUUGCGGUUAAAAAGCUCGUAGUUGGAUUUCUGUUGGAGGCCGCCGGUCCGUUCUUUGAACGUGUAUCUGGUUCGACUCUGACAUCUUUGUGGAGUGCGCAGCUGUGCUUGAUUGCAUGGCGUGAAAUUCACAACAUUUACUUUGAGGAAAUUAGAGUGCUCACGGCAGGCAUAAGCCUUGCAUAUAUUAGCAUGGAAUAAUAGUGUAGGACUUUGGUUCUAUUUUAUUGGUUUCUAGAACUGCAGUAAUGUUAAAUAGGGAUAGUUGGGGGCAUUUGUAUUAACGCGUCAGAGGUGGAAUUCUUGGAUUGCGUUACGACAACCUAAUGCGAAAGCAUUUGCCAAGGAUGUUUUCAUUGAUCAAGAACGAAAGUAUGGGGAUCGAAGAUGAUUAGAUACCGUCGUAGUCUAUACCAUAAACUAUGCCUGCUAGAGAUUGGAGGUUGUUUUUUCUACGACUCCUUCAGCAUCUUAUGAGAAAUCAAAGUCUUUGGGUUCCGGGGGGAGUAUGGUCGCAAGGCUGAAACUUAAAGGAAUUGACGGAAGGGCACCACCAGGAGUGGAGCCUGCGGCUUAAUUUGACUCAACACGGGAAAACUCACCAGGUCCAGACAUAGUAAGGAUUGACAGAUUGAUAGCUCUUUCUCGAUUCUAUGGGUGGUGGUGCAUGGCCGUUCUU
This 734-nucleotide ribosomal RNA is filed under the name uncultured eukaryote. Its description in RNAcentral is "SSU rRNA". It matches the Rfam family "Eukaryotic small subunit ribosomal RNA", at positions 557 to 1295 of the family's 1831-position model. The record is from RNAcentral.